AAUUUGUGACCACUGUCGCCUGCGAAGCUUACAAGCUCUUGCAGUCCGGGUGAACUGGAGAUGCAACAAGAAAAGCUCCCAGCAUGGGUAGAAUGAGGGUAUGAUUUUGGAAAGAGCUGAUCCCAUACUGCUGAAGGUGGUAAUCCUGUCCUCCUCCUGCUCCACUUCUGGGGAUUCCCAUGCGUCAUCAAACCAGCUCCGGCCUGGCAAGGAUCGAGCCUACUGAAAGGAAGACUUUUCAAGGAGGUCCAAAUAAAUGUUGUAAAUCAUG
Molecule: long non-coding RNA, 271 nt
Organism: Gallus gallus (chicken)
Lineage: Eukaryota; Metazoa; Chordata; Aves; Galliformes; Phasianidae
Source: Ensembl